This is a long non-coding RNA of Pectinophora gossypiella (pink bollworm), 491 nucleotides long. RefSeq lists it as uncharacterized. The transcript has 3 exons. The record is from RefSeq and is a predicted model, not a curated record. NCBI's taxonomy places the organism in Eukaryota, Metazoa, Arthropoda, Insecta, Lepidoptera, Gelechiidae.
AAAAAAUACAAGGUCUUUGUUUGGUGGGGUUUAUUGAUUACGUCUUCAUUUUGUAUUGGCAAAAAUAUAUCUUCAACUCCUAUCUCUAAAGACGAUGAUAACCAUUGUGAAGAAUGACAUGCAAAGGCUAUUAGAACCACAUAUCAACAAUUUUCUGACCAUGACCAAGUGAUGAAUAUGAUACAAGUCUACCUCAUGAAAGCCACACUACUUUUCAAAGAAAAAUAUUUUCUUUGGAGUUGUAGGUAUUAUAGUGAAAACUUAAUCUUGACUUCUGUUCUGCAUAAAUGAGAAUCGCACUAUGCCAGGUAACAUAAUGUAGCGAGUACCCUGGUUGAGUCAAGAUAAUAUAAAAUAAGUGGAAAGAUAAUGUGGCCCAAGUAGUAAAGGAAAGGAUGUGCAAACAGCCGAAUGUGAAUCUGGCAAUAAUGUGCCUGUUUAAAUGAGUUUUAGUUGAGUACCAAAUAGUUACCUAGGUUUUCCUGGGAAAA